RNAcentral lists this ribosomal RNA (490 nucleotides) under uncultured bacterium. Its description in RNAcentral is "bacterial SSU rRNA". It matches the Rfam family "Bacterial small subunit ribosomal RNA", at positions 65 to 507 of the family's 1533-position model. The record is from RNAcentral.
AACGGUAGUUUUUCUUUAUUUGGGAUUCCUUCGGGGAUGAAGAUUAUUAAAACUUAGUGGCCGGACGGGUGAGUAACGCGUGGUAACCUGCCCUUUUGUGGGGAACAACUUCGAGAAAUUGAAGCUAAUACCGCAUACUCUUAAAGAGUCGCAUGACUUUUUAAGGAAAGAUGGCCUCUGAACAUGCUAUCGCAAAAGGAUGGACCCGCGUCUGAUUAGCUAGUUGGAAGGGUAACGGCCUACCAAGGCGACGAUCAGUAGCCGGCCUGAGAGGGUGAACGGCCACAUUGGGACUGAGACACGGCCCAAACUCCUACGGGAGGCAGCAGUGGGGAAUCUUCCGCAAUGGGCGAAAGCCUGACGGAGCAAUGCCGCGUGAGUGAAGAAGGCCUUCGGGUUGUAAAACUCUGUCCUUAUUGAAGAGAGGUAGUAGUGUGAAUAAUGCUAUUAUAGGACGGUAAAUAAGGAGGAAGCCCCGGCUAACUACGUG